RNAcentral lists this ribosomal RNA (492 nucleotides) under uncultured bacterium. Its description in RNAcentral is "partial 16S ribosomal RNA". It matches the Rfam family "Bacterial small subunit ribosomal RNA", at positions 29 to 507 of the family's 1533-position model. The record is from RNAcentral.
AGUGAACGCUGGCGGUAGGCCUAACACAUGCAAGUCGAACGGCAGCACAGUAAGAGCUUGCUCUUACGGGUGGCGAGUGGCGGACGGGUGAGGAGUACAUCGGAAUCUACUUUUUCGUGGGGGAUAACGUAGGGAAACUUACGCUAAUACCGCAUACGACCUACGGGUGAAAGCAGGGGAUCUUCGGACCUUGCGCGGUUGAAUGAGCCGAUGUCGGAUUAGCUAGUUGGCGGGGUAAAGGCCCACCAAGGCGACGAUCCGUAGCUGGUCUGAGAGGAUGAUCAGCCACACUGGAACUGAGACACGGUCCAGACUCCUACGGGAGGCAGCAGUGGGGAAUAUUGGACAAUGGGCGCAAGCCUGAUCCAGCCAUACCGCGUGGGUGAAGAAGGCCUUCGGGUUGUAAAGCCCUUUUGUGGGGAAAGAAAAGCAGCAGGUUAAUACCCCGCUGUUCUGACGGUACCCAAAGAAUAAGCACCGGCUAACUUCGUG